RNAcentral lists this ribosomal RNA (465 nucleotides) under Vreelandella stevensii. RNAcentral's name for it is "partial 16S ribosomal RNA". It matches the Rfam family "Bacterial small subunit ribosomal RNA", at positions 338 to 795 of the family's 1533-position model. Lineage: Bacteria; Pseudomonadati; Pseudomonadota; Gammaproteobacteria; Oceanospirillales; Halomonadaceae. The record is from RNAcentral.
CCUACGGGAGGCUGCAGUGGGGAAUAUUGGACAAUGGGGGGAACCCUGAUCCAGCCAUGCCGCGUGUGUGAAGAAGGCCCUCGGGUUGUAAAGCACUUUCAGUGAGGAAGAACGCCUGGUGGUUAAUACCCAUCAGGAAAGACAUCACUCACAGAAGAAGCACCGGCUAACUCCGUGCCAGCAGCCGCGGUAAUACGGAGGGUGCGAGCGUUAAUCGGAAUUACUGGGCGUAAAGCGCGCGUAGGUGGCUUGAUAAGCCGGUUGUGAAAGCCCCGGGCUCAACCUGGGAACGGCAUCCGGAACUGUCAAGCUAGAGUGCAGGAGAGGAAGGUAGAAUUCCCGGUGUAGCGGUGAAAUGCGUAGAGAUCGGGAGGAAUACCAGUGGCGAAGGCGGCCUUCUGGACUGACACUGACACUGAGGCGCGAAAGCGUGGGUAGCAAACAGGAUUAGAUACCCCUGUAGUC